RNAcentral lists this unclassified non-coding RNA (350 nucleotides) under Porpita porpita. RNAcentral describes it as "sequence contains 5.8S rRNA gene, ITS2 and 28S rRNA gene". The stretch from base 296 to 350 matches the Rfam family "Eukaryotic large subunit ribosomal RNA", at positions 1 to 55 of the family's 3401-position model. The record is from RNAcentral. Lineage: Eukaryota; Metazoa; Cnidaria; Hydrozoa; Anthoathecata; Porpitidae.
AAUUCAGUGAUUCCAUUCCGAUUCCUUUGAACGCAAUUGCGCUUCUCUGGAACUCCAGGGAGCAUGCCUGUCUGAAGCGUCCGUGUAAAACCCACACACUCCGGUGUGGCAAGGAAGCUACCAAAUGCUUACUAUUUUGGUUCAUGCAUUUGGCUUCUUAUGUAUCUGAACUCGAUUACAAUCAUUUUUCGAUGUUGUUGUCGGAAGGCUUAACUAGCUUCUGUCCUUUCACAAUCGACUGAAAUUUGAUGUGAUUAUUGGAGUUUUUGAGACAUCCUAGGAUGGACUGAAACUUUGACCUCAGAUCAGACAAGACUACCCGCUGAAUUUAAGCAUAUUAAUAAGCGGAG